GGUAAACCGCCCUCUUUCCCUGAUCGUUGAAAAAUCCCAGAAAAAUUCGACCGAGGUCAGAAGAAAAUGGACGAAGAUCGUCUGAAGCAAGAAAAGGUUCAGAGAUUUGAAGAAUUCGUCGAUCGCCGGUUGAAGCCCGAUCUCGUCAACGCCAUUGCUCAACGGUUGUAUUCCCCUUCAGUCUCUCUCUCUCUCUCUCUCUCUCUCUCUCUCUCUCUCAACGUAUGUUAUUCUUCUUCUUCUCGCAGGGAUAAGGUCUUCGAGCAGCAGAAAGUGUUCUCGGAUCUGAAGAGAAACAUUGAGAAUUUGCGGAAGAAUGGUGUGACCUCUCUGAGAAUGAUGGUCAAUCUCGGGUCCGAAGUAUAUAUGCAAGCUGAUGUUCCUGAUACACGGCACAUAUUUGUGGAUGUAGGACUGGGCUUCCAUGUGGAAUUUACUUGGUCAGAGGCACUGGAAUUUAUAUCUAUAAGGGAAGCUAGGUUGGCAAGACAAAUAGAGGAGUACACACAUCUUAUUGCAAAUAUCAAAGCACAAAUCAAAUUGUUCCAAGGUGGACAAAUGAACAAAUAUGUAGGAGGGAAGUUAAGGAAUAAUAAAAAGCAUGAGCAAUGUAGAUGUUGCAGAAUCAUUGUAUAUCUGAUGUUGAGGUCUUUGAAGUUGGGUCAAGCUCUUUCAAUGGAGAGCCUCCGUUUGGAGUUACGGAUGAAUGGUUGAAGCUUCUAUAAAUGAGUAAAUAUGUUGGUUUUGGAUUCGAUUUGGAAGUUGAAAAUCGUAAAAGAAGCGAUUUUUUCUUCUUCUUCUGUGAUGUUGGAAAGAGAGAGAUUGCCGAGGGGAGGGUGCGGGGGUGAUGAAUGAUGCAAAGGACGAAGGCCAACAUUAGGAUGGGUGGCAGCAGUGGCAACCGGUUGAAGGACGGCCAUGGAUUUGGGGGAAAUGGUGCAUUGUCCGUUGAUAAAAGGUUUGCGAGGGUAUCAGGGAGUUGCUUCAGUUACCAGCUGAGUGAUGUUUAUUACUUGCUCUGCUGACAGCAGCUCGAUUUUAUUUCCUGCUCCCCAAGUUGAUAUCUCUGGAACCUAAAGAAGCCAUUGAUGUAGGUUGGACAGAUGCCUGGUGCCUUUUUUUUUACAAAACAAGUUUCACUGAGCUUAAAUUACUGAAGUCAUCUGCGUCUGAAACACCAUUUGAUCAUGCCGGCCUAUCUGUGUUUUCCUUUAGCACAAUUAUAAUCUAUUACAUUUUUUUCUUCUCUGCUUGGCGUAUAAAUUUUUCUGUGGAGCUAUUUCAUAUUUGUAUCCUACUUAUUUUCUGGUUUAGAUUCCAGCACACAAGCAUGUAAAGCAUUGUCUAUAAUUUCAGAUUGGCAGGGCUAGAUCUUGAAGUUCAUAUAAUAACAGUGAGAUUUAUAUGUUGUAAUCUGAUUAUUGUUUUCUCC
Asparagus officinalis (garden asparagus) is the source of this 1432-nucleotide RNA transcript. It is a transcript of the gene named protein UXT homolog, with no coding region annotated. The transcript has 7 exons. The record is from RefSeq and is a predicted model, not a curated record. NCBI's taxonomy places the organism in Eukaryota, Viridiplantae, Streptophyta, Magnoliopsida, Asparagales, Asparagaceae.